GCAGGCGCUGGGUCUGCAGAUGGCGUCCAGGUACACAGUGGCGAGUGUGAUUCCGCAGUCUUGGGCUGUUUGGCCAAGCGCCCGCCGGACAUGGUACGCCGAAGGGUCAUCGGCGUGGAGUCCUCGCUUUCAGCGUCCGCGGCUGGGAAAUCGGCCAUCGCUACGGCGGGAACUGGGACUCGGGCUGCGUCCCGGCCCUUCCACAUCGGUCCACCGCACUCGUGGGCGCCCGCAUUGGUGCUGACAUAAUUUCCUGACCUCUGACCCGUAUUGUCUCGCGAUUAAAGGUCCAGAUUUGGAACAAAUCUCUCUAGAGAUUGAACAGAGCUGCGCCUGGAUCCCUCAGCAGUGAGGAGACCUGAAGACCAGAGGAAACACAGCAAGUAGGCCCUUUAAACCACUCACCUGUGUUGUCUUCCAAUUUAUUCUGUUUUAUUUUGUUUCCAUCAUUUUAAGGGGUUAAAAUCAUCUUGUUCAGACCUCAGCAUAUAAAAUGACCCAUCUGUAGACCUCAGGCUCCAACCAUACCCCAAGAGUUGUCUGGUUUUGUUUAAAUUACUGCCAGGUUUCAACUGCAGAUAUCCCUGGAAGGAAUAUUCCAGAUUCCCUGAGUAGUUUCCAGGUUAAAGUCUUAUAGGCUUCUUCUGUUU
This 650-nucleotide long non-coding RNA is filed under the name Homo sapiens (human). RNAcentral's name for it is "non-protein coding lnc-ZNF345-29:10". Lineage: Eukaryota; Metazoa; Chordata; Mammalia; Primates; Hominidae. The record is from RNAcentral.